GGCGGAUCACUCCAGAAAAUCUAGUCUUACCAUGCCCCUACUGCUUUGAUCUAACUCUCUUAUUUCCUCUUAUUCUCUCCCUUUUCUUAACCUAGUCCACUUCAAUCUGCUGAGCAUAUAUCAUUACUAUAGAAUGAUCCAUGUCCCUAUUGAGUACAAUAUAUCUACACUCUUUCACAACGUAACUCGAUACGCCAGUCAAAAACUUACUCAUAC
This 216-nucleotide long non-coding RNA is filed under the name Capsicum annuum. RNAcentral's name for it is "long non-coding RNA (CANN_LNC001117)". The record is from RNAcentral. Lineage: Eukaryota; Viridiplantae; Streptophyta; Magnoliopsida; Solanales; Solanaceae.